GGGAGAUUUUAGAGCAUUUAUAAAUAAUCACGAGACAUUUGAUUGUGAGUUACUUUUUUACCGGUUAGUCAAUCAAAAUUAUUGACACAGUACAUUGGUGGUAGCCAUCCAUGGUCCUCUUCAAUAAAUGUAAUCAACCUUCAAUCUUGAAUAAAAAUUUGUUUAUUGUUUCUACUAAUAGGGGUCAAAUUAUGUAUUGAAGAUUUUCUCUAGACCCAUGAAGUUAUUGAUUAGUUGUAGUAUGACACUUUUGAAUGUUUUAAUUACAAUUAGCCCUCCUAACAAAGUUUUCAAAAAUAAUUUGCUGAUCAUAAUGAAGUAAUUGAAGUUAAGCUCGAACGUUUGUGAUUUUUCAAUUUCCUUGUAUUUUAUUUUAAGAUUUAGGUCAUCGGUUGAUUGAAUAAGUCACUGUAAGUCAUUUAACAUAACAAAUAUUUACAUGAUCAUGGUGUUUUUUAUUACAAAAUUGUACCCA
Molecule: long non-coding RNA, 475 nt
Filed under: Mytilus galloprovincialis (Mediterranean mussel)
Lineage: Eukaryota; Metazoa; Mollusca; Bivalvia; Mytilida; Mytilidae
Source: RNAcentral